RNAcentral lists this transfer RNA (89 nucleotides) under Laccaria bicolor S238N-H82. It matches the Rfam family "tRNA". Rfam says of the family: Transfer RNA (tRNA) molecules are approximately 80 nucleotides in length. The record is from Rfam by way of RNAcentral. Lineage: Eukaryota; Fungi; Basidiomycota; Agaricomycetes; Agaricales; Hydnangiaceae.
GCAUUGAUGGGGUAAAGGUAACCUGGGUCAUUGUUAUAGUCAGUAGAGUUUAACUUGACCUGCUGGGGGUUCAAUUCCCUCUCAAUGCA